Non-coding RNA from Ictidomys tridecemlineatus (thirteen-lined ground squirrel), 2371 nucleotides. The record is from RefSeq and is a predicted model, not a curated record. NCBI's taxonomy places the organism in Eukaryota, Metazoa, Chordata, Mammalia, Rodentia, Sciuridae.
CUCUUCCUGCCUCAGCUUCCCCAGUCUCUGGAAUUACAGAUGUGCACUGUGCUCGGAUAGGGAAUGUCAUUUUAAAUAUCUUGCCCACAGAAGUGCUCACGGAGAAGGUGGCAUUUAAAAGACCUUUUUAGGGCUGGAGUGUAGCUGCGUGGUAGAGCUCUUGUCUAGCAUGCAGGACGCCCUGGCAGAAGGACAGUUCACAGCCUAGAUCCACCACCAGCAUUCAGCAACUGGUCGUGUUUUGCCACAUCUGCUGCUUCUCACAUUUCCGUGCUUGAUGAGCCAUUUAGAAUUCAUUUCAGACACCCAUGGAGACUUCCCUUCCUGUCCUUUAGUGGCGAAGGCAUUCUUAUCAUUGUACCUCUCUACUACAUCUAAUUAACAAUAAUUCCGAAUAUCUCCCAGUUCUCUGUUGGAAGAGGCAUUUGGCCAGACAUGCGAAGCCGGUGAGAGGUGGGCCAUGUGAGUACCUGGCAGAAGAACAUGCCAGCAGAGGGGACAGCCACUGCAAAGGCCCUAGGCUGAGUUUUUAUCUCCCAGGAACUGAGAGGAGGACGAUGUGGCUGGACUGAAGUGAAUGAGCCAGGAGGACAAGUCAGAUACGAGGGCAGAGAGGAAGGAGCCAGAUACUGCAGAGCCUUGUGGCCCUCGGUGAUCCCGUUGGCUUCUCUGCGUCCGCAGGUGCCCCUGGAAUUCGCGGGCCCAGGGCGCACCUGACCUGCGGUGAUUCACGGAAGACACUUCACGUCGCUUCCCUUCCUCCGGUGGAUCGAUCUGUGGAUGAACUGUGGCCCUCAGGCCACCCCUCCCUGGAGAGCAGGAGCAAGGCAGUGACGUUCACCCCCGGGAUCUGGUGACAGAGAUGGCCUGGAGAUGCACACCGCCACCCCCCACCUUUACAGAUUUACAGGGUGAGUGGAGGAGGUCUGGGGACCUCUAUGGAAAGAGUUUGGUCUUUAAAAUGACAUCAGCUUAAAUCAUGAUGAGAAAUGCAAAACACAAUGUAUUUGGCAAGAUCAGUGUGCAGUCAGGGGCGGAGCCGGCAGGGUUGUCCACGCCCUGCACACUCCAGGAAGGGCUGGCCUUCAAGCCUCGGGUUGUCCUGUCUGAUAAGUGUCUUGGGCUACCUGGGCCGUGCCAGAUGGUCUCUGCUAAAGCUGAUUUACCUGGGGCUUCCGGCCAGGCUGUAUCUGUGGGACCCCUUGAGCAUCUGAGGUCGGUGGUGGGGACAGUUGGCCGUGGCCUGCCUGACCAGACGCAAACUCCUGGGUGGGCUUCCCUGGUCUGUGUACUCUCUGCGUCGUCACAGGGGGUUGCUGGGAGGCAGAAACCGUCUGUGGGACUCCACUGGGACUGGACACUGGAGCGCCCCCUGGACUCUGCCACAAUGCCUCUUCCCUUGGCUGAUUUUGAUCUGUGUCUUUUCACCAUGAUCAACUGAAGCUAUGCAUGUAACGCUUCUCUGAGUUCUGUGAGUCCUAAGGUACCGAUGUAAUGCCAGAUUCGUGGGACCCCAACAGACCUCCAGGAGCCGAAUCCGAUGCAGUUUCACACAAGAGUCUGUAUUGCAAGAUGGAUCCUGGACUCACAACCGUUUCCAGUGCAGCGGUCCCAGGGAGUGAGUCCCGGUCCUUUGUUCAGUGAGAUUUGAUAGGUUUUGGGGGAUUCUCUAUGCGUCACAACAUCACACAGCAAAUCAUUUCACACCUCGGGAAAGUCCAACAAGAACUCUCAACACUGAUAGCACAUUCACUGGCGGGAACAAGUUGGGAAGGGGUGAUUGGCGAGUUCAAGAGGUGGAUAUAUUUGAAUUGAUUGGUUUAGGCUCGAGGGGUGCAAGAGUGUAUACACUAAACUGCAGGGUGGCCUAACCGUGUUAGCAAUCACUGAAACUACUGGGAGGGUCACCCGACAUUUCAGAUAUUUUCCCUGUCUCAUGCUGAUUGGUGGUUGCUAGGGGGUUGCUAUGGAGCCUCACCUAGCAGUAAUCGAGUCGGGGACACCGGGCACUGCAGAUCCCUGUUAUCAUUUACAGACAAACAACUCAGCAGGGUGGGUAUGUGCUUUGGAGUGCUCUUUGGGUUUUUUCCAAGGAUAAGGGUCAUGCCCCCCUCCCUCUGGACGGGCCUUGAGGUAGAAGCUGGUUUCUCAAAAAUGGAGUCACAUCAGUUUCUUACCAUCACACCCGAGGAUGGGAGGGACUGGGAACAUCUGUGGAAGACUUGGUGACAGAUAUACGGACAUCCCCUUGAAUUAGAAUAAGAAAAAGGGAGCACAGUAUAUUAAGGAAGAUAUUAAAUAUUGGUAUGUAUAAAAUGAACAAUGAGCCGGGCGUGGUGACGCCUGCGUAUAAUCCCAGUGGCUCAGGAGG